Molecule: long non-coding RNA, 818 nt
Filed under: Marmota monax (woodchuck)
Lineage: Eukaryota; Metazoa; Chordata; Mammalia; Rodentia; Sciuridae
Source: RNAcentral
CUUGACACGAGAAACAUGCCUCAGAAGGUUUAAUUGCACAAUUUCAAAAUAGGCUUAGGUUCCAAGAAUCAGGUCCCUGCUUGCUGUUGAUGUCAUUGGCAUGGGGAGUUGGGGCUUUGGUGCUGAGAGGGUUUGUUGGAGGAGGAGUAAAGCAUAAAAGAGUGGUUUCUAACUUUGCUAAGUAGAGCACUCACCUGAGAUUUGGGGGUGAGGGGAGUCGACUUCCCACCCUGGACAUUCUGAUUUAAUUGGUUGGGGGUGAGAGGAGGCUAUAGGAUUUUUCAAAGCCCUUCAGGUUGGGGAGCCAGGUUUGAGAAUCUUGGGCAUAGAAGAAAGAUUGGUAGUCUCCAGGGAGAUUUACCUGCCAAAGUAAAGAGCUCCUUUGGAACAUCUGGAGUUUUAACAAUCUUGCAAAAUACAGGCAAAGGGGAAAAGACAGGGUGUGGUUUCAAUAAUAAAGGAUUAGUCUUUUUUACUAAAGGAGCCAGUGGAUGGUUUUCGCCCCCCUACAUUAGCCUGGAGGGCUCCCCUCCUCCCUGCUUGUGAUGGCUAGGACAGUGGUCUGGAGUGCUCCUGAGAUACUAGAGUUCUCUUAAUAAAGUAAGGUCUCUCUAUCUCUGACAAAGGGACCCUCUUUAUUUUAAAUUAAGCUCUUAGAGCCCCUGCAGAGCUCCAGAAACCUGCCCAGCUCUUUGAUGUCACUCUUUGAACACUAGGAUUAAUGAUUGGAGAUUUGUGUCUGAGAAAAAUAGAAAUGCCACUGAAUUUUCCUGUUUGUUCUGUAUUCACUUAAAACAGAAUGCUCCUGAGAAGUAAAC